AGAGCAGAAAUGGGAGGGGGGAGGAAAAAAGUGAGAAAUGAGAAAUCGAAGUGGAGCACCAUCCCUUUGAAAUCGACUCGAAAUCGAAACGCAGCGACCUGUCUGACAUGCUGAAUUAUUAAAUGAUCGAAGAGAGUUGAAAAAUAAUCGUGAAAAAUUUCGCCCGUUUCUCAUCAAUGUUUGAAGACGAGAGUGGGAUUAAAAAAAUUUUCCCAAAAAACUGGAAGAAUAUUUUAAAAGAUUUCGAUCAUCAAAUGUUUGAAAUGAUUUUAUUAUGCGAAUAAGAAACUUAAAGUAAAAGUACGCUUCGAAUAUUAGAAAAAUUUUGAACAGAUUUUUGUGGACAGAUUUAUUUUUAUAGAUUAUAGUGUUUUAUGUUAUCAAACGAAAUAUUUUUUUAUCGAAGAGCAUCGUGUCCACUCGAUUUCACGAGUUUGUUGAAGCAUUGAAUAUUUAAUACAAUUUGAUUUCGUAUUUUUUCAACACAAAGCUUUGAACUUUGA
Long non-coding RNA from Apis dorsata (giant honeybee), 503 nucleotides. RefSeq lists it as uncharacterized. The transcript has 3 exons. NCBI's taxonomy places the organism in Eukaryota, Metazoa, Arthropoda, Insecta, Hymenoptera, Apidae. The record is from RefSeq and is a predicted model, not a curated record.